UGGGGAAUUUUGCACAAUGGGGGGAACCUUGAUGCAGCGACGCCGCGUGAGGGAUGGAGGCCUUCGGGUUGUGAACCUCUUUCGCUCGUGUGCAAGCCGCUAUUUGGGUAGUGGUGAGUGUAGCGGGUAAAGAAGCGCCGGCUAACUACGUUCCAGCAGCCGCGGUAAUACGUAGGGCUCGAUCGUUGUCCGGAUUUAUUGGGCGUAAAGGGCUGGUAGGCGGUUUGUCGCGCCUGUGGUGUAAUCCUCUGGCUUAACUGGGGGUGUGCGGUGGGUACGGGCAGGCUGGAGUGCGGUAGGGGAGAUUGGAAGUCCGGGUGUAGAGGUGGAAUGCGCAGAUAUCAGGAGGAACACCGGUGGCGAAGGCGGGUCUCUGGGCCGUUACUGACGCUGAGGAGCGAAAGCGUGGGGAGCGAACAGG
RNAcentral lists this ribosomal RNA (421 nucleotides) under Fusobacteriota bacterium. RNAcentral describes it as "Fusobacteria bacterium partial 16S ribosomal RNA". It matches the Rfam family "Bacterial small subunit ribosomal RNA", at positions 355 to 776 of the family's 1533-position model. The record is from RNAcentral. Lineage: Bacteria; Fusobacteriati; Fusobacteriota.